Molecule: ribosomal RNA, 540 nt
Filed under: uncultured bacterium
Lineage: Bacteria
Description: bacterial SSU rRNA
Rfam family: Bacterial small subunit ribosomal RNA
Source: RNAcentral
UGAGGAAUAUUGGUCAAUGGGCGAGAGCCUGAACCAGCCAAGUAGCGUGCAGGAUGACGGCCUUCCGGGUUGUAAACUGCUUUUAGUUGGGAAUAAAAAAAGGGACUUGUCCCUUCUUGUAUGUACCUUCAGAAAAAGGACCGGCUAAUUCCGUGCCAGCAGCCGCGGUAAUACGGAAGGUCCAGGCGUUAUCCGGAUUUAUUGGGUUUAAAGGGAGCGUAGGCGGAUUGUUAAGUCAGCGGUUAAAGGGUGUGGCUCAACCAUGCAUUGCCGUUGAAACUGGCGAUCUUGAGUGCAGACAGGGAUGCCGGAAUUCGUGGUGUAGCGGUGAAAUGCUUAGAUAUCACGAAGAACUCCGAUCGCGAAGGCAGGUGUCCGGGCUGCAACUGACGCUGAGGCUCGAAAGUGUGGGUAUCAAACAGGAUUAGAUACCCUGGUAGUCCACACAGUAAACGAUGUAUACUCGCGGUUUGCGAUAGACAGUAAGCCGCCAAGCGAAAGCAUUAAGUAUACCACCUGGGGAGUACGCCGGCAACGGUG